RNAcentral lists this ribosomal RNA (1902 nucleotides) under Triticum aestivum (bread wheat). Its description in RNAcentral is "partial small subunit ribosomal RNA". Lineage: Eukaryota; Viridiplantae; Streptophyta; Magnoliopsida; Poales; Poaceae. The record is from RNAcentral.
AUGGAUGUGGCUUCUCCUAGCUCCGAUGGAGAUCUGCAGGCAGGGCUCCUGCACCCCACCGCUAGCAGCUCCAACUCCAUCUCCAGAGACAUUAACAUGGCUAGCAAGUUGCAAAAUGCAGCAAGUCUAACUAUCCGACUACUACAACAAAUCACGGAUAAUUUCUCAGAGGAGCGAAAAAUUGGUCAAGGCGCAUAUGGAACGGUUUACAAGGGGGUGCAUGCCAAUGGAGAGGAGAUUGCUGUAAAGCUGCUCCGUAAUAACCUGCAAGGAACUGACGAUGAGCAAUUCAAACGUGAGUUUGAAAACCUCAUGAGGCUCGAUCAUCACAACAUUGUACAGUUAGUUGGCUAUUGCUACGAAACACAUCAUAAACCUAUGCUGCACAAUGGAGAAACCAUUUACGCUGAAGAAACAAACAGAGUGCUCUGCUUUGAGUAUAUGCGAAAUGGAAGCCUUCAAAAGCAUAUUUCUGAGGAAUGUGAUGGACUUGACUGGCACACACGUUACGGAAUUAUCAAAGGGACAUGUGAGGGAUUAAAAUACCUUCAUGAAGGAUUCAAAGAACCAAUUUACCAUAUGGACUUGAAACCUGACAAUAUACUGCUAGAUGAGAAUAUGAUGCCAAAACUAGCAGAUUUUGGCUUGUCUAAGCUCUACGAUGGAGAACAAUCAGUGAUCACUCAAAUUCUUACGGGAACAAUUGGAUACUUGCCGCCGGAAUAUUUAUUUGAACACAUAGUCUCGAAGAAGUUGGACAUAUUCAGUCUGGGUGUUGUGGUGACAAAGAUAAUUACGGGGCCUAGAGGCCCCACCAGGAGGGCUGAAAUGACUUACCAAGACUUUAUUAAUCAAGUACAUGUAAACUGGAGGAAAAGAUUGCAGGAAACAUGGCAUGCUUCCCAACCUUUAGAAGCGUAUUGCAAGCAAGUGAACAUAUGCAUUGAAAUAGCAUUGACCUGCAUGGAGAGCGAUAGGCACAAAAGGCCUACUAUAGUAGAUAUCAUACAUAAACUGAACGAGACUGAAACUGUGAUCAAAGAGCUGAAAAAUGAUGAGGGUCACCGAUGGACAAGCAACCAUAUUACCGAGGAUAUUGUAGCGCAAGAAACUGAGCGUGAUUAUCGUGCUAUACCUGAUCAAGACCCAACACUCAUGGAACCUGUUAGGAGUGAUGUAUUAGAAAAUACAGAGGGAGUUGAGAAUGAAUAUGCAGCUGCAGAGGAUGAUCCCCUGCCAGGCAUAAAAGGACUAAGAAUCACAGGUGAAGCUUUCCCUGGAAGAGAACUUCAAGCGAGUGGGUUUUCCAUCAACGGAACCAGAGGUUGUAAUUUCGAGUGGGUACGCCAUUUCGAAGAUGGAUCCGUGAAGUUCAUAGAAGGUGCACGGCAGCCCACAUAUGUAGUUACCGCUGACGACGUGGACACUCUACUAGCCAUUGAGGUCCAGCCACUAGAUGACCGAAAAAGAAAGGGAGAUGUCCUGAAGAUUUAUGCCAAUGAACAAAUGAGAAUUACUUGCGAUCCUGAAAUGAAGGAGCUUAUCAAAAGAAUCCUUUCCAUUGGGCAUGUGUCUUAUGAAGUCCUGCUACCUUUUCAGGUUAGAUUUCUAGAUAUGUGGGAACCUGCUGUAUUGUCAAUAAAGAGGGAAGGUUACAGCAUUAAGUGUAACGGACAACGCGGUGUUGUCAUUACAGAGAGAUUCCAGCAAUCCACGGAUAUCAGUAUCCCAUGGGCGCAUCCUACUGAGUUUUCAAUUCAGUCAGCUAAGGGCACGCAGUAUAAUGUCAAGCCUGCUGAAAAUUCCCCAUCACGGGAUACUAUUGUUCUAAUACUGAGGGUGUUCAGGAUGCAGGCUAUUGAGAAGAGCAAAGCAAGAAGAUGGGGCAUCUUCUCCAAGUAG